UUUAUGGAGAGUUUGAUCCUGGCUCAGGAUGAACGCUGGCGGCGUGCCUAAUACAUGCAAGUCGAGCGAACAGAUAAGGAGCUUGCUCCUUUGACGUUAGCGGCGGACGGGUGAGUAACACGUGGGUAACCUACCUAUAAGA
This 142-nucleotide ribosomal RNA is filed under the name Staphylococcus pseudintermedius. RNAcentral's name for it is "partial 16S ribosomal RNA". It matches the Rfam family "Bacterial small subunit ribosomal RNA", at positions 1 to 137 of the family's 1533-position model. Lineage: Bacteria; Bacillati; Bacillota; Bacilli; Caryophanales; Staphylococcaceae. The record is from RNAcentral.